RNAcentral lists this ribosomal RNA (429 nucleotides) under uncultured bacterium. RNAcentral describes it as "bacterial SSU rRNA". It matches the Rfam family "Bacterial small subunit ribosomal RNA", at positions 967 to 1397 of the family's 1533-position model. The record is from RNAcentral.
AACCUUACCAGGUCUUGACAUCUUUUGAUCACCUGAGAGAUCAGGUUUCCCCUUCGGGGGCAAAAUGACAGGUGGUGCAUGGUUGUCGUCAGCUCGUGUCGUGAGAUGUUGGGUUAAGUCCCGCAACGAGCGCAACCCUUAUGACUAGUUGCCAGCAUUUAGUUGGGCACUCUAGUAAGACUGCCGGUGACAAACCGGAGGAAGGUGGGGAUGACGUCAAAUCAUCAUGCCCCUUAUGACCUGGGCUACACACGUGCUACAAUGGAUGGUACAACGAGUUGCGAGACCGCGAGGUCAAGCUAAUCUCUUAAAGCCAUUCUCAGUUCGGACUGUAGGCUGCAACUCGCCUACACGAAGUCGGAAUCGCUAGUAAUCGCGGAUCAGCACGCCGCGGUGAAUACGUUCCCGGGUCUUGUUACACACCCCUGA